This is a long non-coding RNA of Vanessa tameamea, 361 nucleotides long. RefSeq lists it as uncharacterized. The transcript is spliced from 2 exons. The record is from RefSeq and is a predicted model, not a curated record. NCBI's taxonomy places the organism in Eukaryota, Metazoa, Arthropoda, Insecta, Lepidoptera, Nymphalidae.
CAAUCGAGGUCGUAAACAAAGAUAAAAAAAAUUAAUGUUAGUUGUUUUAAAUAUUUCAAAUAGUAAAUACUAUGGAUGAAAACCAUGAAGCCGUGAUACAAAGCAUUUGUUGCACUUGUUUAAGCGUCGAUAGAAAAUUAACACAACUCUGUCGAGUUGAAAAUGGUGUCAAUUGUUUGUUUUUUCUACUUUCUCACGACUCGGAUGCUUAUCAGGCAAUGUUCCAAAAGGCAGCUAUUGAUCUAUAUAUCUGCUGGGAGUGCCGUGCUCUGAUGCAUAGAUUCUGCAAGUUCAGGGACCAGGCCUGCAUUGCUCAGAAGCAGCUGUCCAGCAUCUCUGACGGGAGACAUGAAGUAAUUGA